RNAcentral lists this ribosomal RNA (243 nucleotides) under Vibrio vulnificus. Its description in RNAcentral is "partial 16S ribosomal RNA". It matches the Rfam family "Bacterial small subunit ribosomal RNA", at positions 1 to 238 of the family's 1533-position model. The record is from RNAcentral. Lineage: Bacteria; Pseudomonadati; Pseudomonadota; Gammaproteobacteria; Vibrionales; Vibrionaceae.
UUUAAUUGAAGAGUUUGAUCAUGGCUCAGAUUGAACGCUGGCGGCAGGCCUAACACAUGCAAGUCGAGCGGCAGCACAGAGAAACUUGUUUCUCGGGUGGCGAGCGGCGGACGGGGGAGUAAUGCCUGGGAAAUUGCCCUGAUGUGGGGGAUAACCAUUGGAAACGAUGGCUAAUACCGCAUGAUAGCUUCGGCUCAAAGAGGGGGACCUUCGGGCCUCUCGCGGCAGGAUAUGCCCAGGUGG